This 460-nucleotide ribosomal RNA is filed under the name uncultured bacterium. RNAcentral's name for it is "partial 16S ribosomal RNA". It matches the Rfam family "Bacterial small subunit ribosomal RNA", at positions 338 to 795 of the family's 1533-position model. The record is from RNAcentral.
CCUACGGGUGGCAGCAGUGAGGAAUAUUGGUCAAUGGACGAGAGCCUGAACCAGCCAAGUCGCGUGAAGGAUGACUGCCCUAUGGGUUGUAAACUUCUUUUAUAUAGGAAUAAAACGAGGCACGUGUGCCUUUUUGCAUGUACCUUAUGAAUAAGGAUCGGCUAACUCCGUGCCAGCAGCCGCGGUAAUACGGAGGAUCCGAGCGUUAUCCGGAUUUAUUGGGUUUAAAGGGAGCGUAGGUGGUUAGUUAAGUCAGCUGUGAAAGUUUGCGGCUCAACCGUAAAAUUGCAAUUGAUACUGGCAGUCUUGAGUACAGUUGAGGUAGGCGGAAUGCGUGGUGUAGCGGUGAAAUGCUUAGAUAUCACGAAGAACCCCGAUUGCGAAGGCAGCUUACUAAACUGUAACUGACAUUGAUGCUCGAAAGUGUGGGGAUCAAACAGGAUUAGAUACCCGGGUAGUC